GAAAUGCGAUAAGUAAUGUGAAUUGCAGAAUUCAGUGAAUCAUCGAAUCUUUGAACGCACAUUGCGCCCGCCAGUAUUCUGGCGGGGAUGCCUGUUCGAGCGUCAUUUCAACCAUCAAGCCCCCGGCUUGUGUUGGGGACCUGCGGCUGCCCGCAGGCCCUGAAAAACAGUGGCGGGCUCGCUGUCACACCGAGCGUAGUAGCAUACAUUCUCGCUCAGGGCGUGCUGCGGGUUCCGGCCGUUAAACGACCUUCAUAACCCAAGGUUGACCUCGGAUCAGGUAGGAAGACCCGCUGAACUUAAGC
This 305-nucleotide unclassified non-coding RNA is filed under the name plant metagenome. Its description in RNAcentral is "partial contains 5.8S ribosomal RNA, internal transcribed spacer 2, and large subunit ribosomal RNA". The stretch from base 1 to 105 matches the Rfam family "5.8S ribosomal RNA", at positions 50 to 154 of the family's 154-position model. The record is from RNAcentral.